GAAAAGAACUUUGAAAAGAGAGUUAAACAGUACGUGAAAUUGUUGAAAGGGAAACGAUUAAAGCCAGUCGUACCGGCGGGUAAUCAGCCUACAGGCUACUGUGGGUGCACUUUGGGUGUACUUGCUCGUGUGGUAGGUUAACAUCAAUUUCGGUCGUCAUAAAAUGAUUGGGGGAAUGUAGCUUCGAUCUCGUAUUGAAGUGUUAUAGACUCUGGUAGAUGUGAUGAUCGAGAUUGAGGAUUGCAACGGAUACCCUUCGGGGCUACUCGUCUGAUCUCUGAGAGUUACUCUGGUGCCGAAAGCGUGCUUACGGUAUCAAAGUUGACGUUCAAUAGGUUAGAACGGGUUAAAUUCGUUAAGGAUGUUGACGUAAUGGCUUUAAACGACCCGUCUUGAAACA
RNAcentral lists this ribosomal RNA (400 nucleotides) under uncultured Glomeromycotina. RNAcentral describes it as "eukaryotic LSU rRNA". It matches the Rfam family "Eukaryotic large subunit ribosomal RNA", at positions 366 to 661 of the family's 3401-position model. Lineage: Eukaryota; Fungi; Glomeromycota. The record is from RNAcentral.